AUUGAACGCUGGCGGCAGGCCUAACACAUGCAAGUCGAACGAGUGGCGGACGGGUGAGUAAUGUCUGGGAAACUGCCCGCUGGAGGGGGAUAACUACUGGAAACGGUAGCUAAUACCGCAUACCAUCGGAUGUGCCCAGAUGGGAUUAGAUAGUAGGUGGGGUAACGGCUCACCUAGGCGACGAUCCCUAGCUGGUCUGAGAGGAUGACCAGCCAAUCUGGAACUGAGACACGUCCAAGCCUCCGACGGUAGGCAGCAGUGGGGAAUAUUGCACAAUGGGCGCAAGCCGGAUGCAGCCAUGCCGCGUGGAUGAAGAAGGCCUUCGGGUUGUAAAGUACUUUCAGCGAGGAGGCGUUACUCGCAGAAGAAGCACCGGCUAACUCCGUGCCAGCAGCCGCGGUAAUUC
RNAcentral lists this ribosomal RNA (406 nucleotides) under uncultured bacterium. RNAcentral's name for it is "partial 16S ribosomal RNA". It matches the Rfam family "Bacterial small subunit ribosomal RNA", at positions 30 to 526 of the family's 1533-position model. The record is from RNAcentral.